UAGCCAUGCUAGUUGCACGAGUUCAUACUCGUGGCGAAAAGCUCAGUAACACGUGGCCAAACUACCCUACAGAGAACGAUAACCUCGGGAAACUGAGGCUAAUAGUUCAUACGGGAGUCAUGCUGGAAUGCCGACUCCCCGAAACGCUCAGGCGCUGUAGGAUGUGGCUGCGGCCGAUUAGGUAGACGGUGGGGUAACGGCCCACCGUGCCGAUAAUCGGUACGGGUUGUGAGAGCAAGAGCCCGGAGACGGAAUCUGAGACAAGAUUCCGGGCCCUACGGGGCGCAGCAGGCGCGAAACCUUUACACUGCACGCAAGUGCGAUAAGGGGACCCCAAGUGCGAGGGCAUAUAGUCCUCGCUUUUCUCGACUGUAAGGCGGUCGAGGAAUAAGAGCUGGGCAAGACCGGUGCCAGCCGCCGCGGUAAUACCGGCAGCUCAAGUGAUGACCGAUAUUAUUGGGCCUAAAGCGUCCGUAGCCGGCCACGAAGGUUCAUCGGGAAAUCCGCCAGCUCAACUGGCGGGCGUCCGGUGAAAACCACGUGGCUUGGGACCGGAAGGCUCGAGGGGUACGUCCGGGGUAGGAGUGAAAUCCCGUAAUCCUGGACGGACCACCGAUGGCGAAAGCACCUCGAGAAGACGGAUCCGACGGUGAGGGACGAAAGCUAGGGUCUCGAACCGGAUUAGAUACCCGGGUAGUCCUAGCUGUAAACGAUGCUCGCUAGGUGUGACACAGGCUACGAGCCUGUGCUGUGCCGUAGGGAAGCCGAGAAGCGAGCCGCCUGGGAAGUACGUCCGCAAGGAUGAAACUUAAAGGAAUUGGCGGGGGAGCACUACAACCGGAGGAGCCUGCGGUUUAAUUGGACUCAACGCCGGACAUCUCACCAGCUCCGACUACAGUGAUGACGAUCAGGUUGAUGACCUUAUCACGACGCUGUAGAGAGGAGGUGCAUGGCCGCCGUCAGCUCGUACCGUGAGGCGUCCUGUUAAGUCAGGCAACGAGCGAGACCCGCACUUCUAAUUGCCAGCAGCAGUUUCGACUGGCUGGGUACUUUAGAAGGACUGCCGCUGCUAAAGCGGAGGAAGGAACGGGCAACGGUA
This 1099-nucleotide ribosomal RNA is filed under the name Haloferax volcanii. RNAcentral's name for it is "bacterial SSU rRNA". It matches the Rfam family "Archaeal small subunit ribosomal RNA", at positions 46 to 1143 of the family's 1478-position model. Lineage: Archaea; Methanobacteriati; Methanobacteriota; Halobacteria; Halobacteriales; Haloferacaceae. The record is from RNAcentral.